Molecule: ribosomal RNA, 254 nt
Filed under: uncultured bacterium
Lineage: Bacteria
Description: partial 16S ribosomal RNA
Rfam family: Bacterial small subunit ribosomal RNA
Source: RNAcentral
UACGGGGGGAGCAAGCGUUGUUCGGAUUUACUGGGCGUAAAGGGCGCGUAGGCGGCCAGCACAAGUCAGUUGUGAAAUCUCCGAGCUUAACUCGGAAAGGUCAACUGAUACUGUGCGGCUAGAGUGCGGAAGGGGCAACUGGAAUUCUUGGUGUAGCGGUGAAAUGCGUAGAUAUCAAGAGGAACACCUGCGACGAAGGCGGGUUGCUGGGCCGACACUGACGCUGAGGCGCGAAAGCUAGGGGAGCGAACGGG